Molecule: transfer RNA, 73 nt
Organism: Candidatus Accumulibacter sp. BA-94
Lineage: Bacteria; Pseudomonadati; Pseudomonadota; Betaproteobacteria
Rfam family: tRNA
About the family: Transfer RNA (tRNA) molecules are approximately 80 nucleotides in length. Their secondary structure includes four short double-helical elements and three loops (D, anti-codon, and T loops).
Source: Rfam
GGGUUGGUAGCUCAGUCGGUAGAGCAGUGGACUUUUAAUCCAUUGGUCGAGGGUUCGAAUCCCUCCCGACCCA